GUUUGCAUAUCAAUAGCGGAGGAAAAGAAACCAACAGGGAUUGCCUUAGUAGCGGCGAGUGAAGCGGCAAAAGCUCAAAUUUGAAAUCUGUCACCUUUGGUGUCCGAGUUGUAAUUUGAAGAUUGUAACCUUGGGGUUGGCUCUUGUCUAUGUUUCUUGGAACAGGACGUCACAGAGGGUGAGAAUCCCGUGCGAUGAGAUGCCCAAUCCUAUGUAAGGUGCUUUCGAAGAGUCGAGUUGUUUGGGAAUGCAGCUCUAAGUGGGUGGUAAAUU
This 273-nucleotide ribosomal RNA is filed under the name Meyerozyma smithsonii. RNAcentral's name for it is "partial large subunit ribosomal RNA". It matches the Rfam family "Eukaryotic large subunit ribosomal RNA", at positions 34 to 305 of the family's 3401-position model. The record is from RNAcentral. Lineage: Eukaryota; Fungi; Ascomycota; Pichiomycetes; Serinales; Debaryomycetaceae.